UUUUAUUGAUAGUAUAGGUGCUGAUAUUGUUUUUUUACAUUAACUUCGUUAUAUGUGUGUACAUGUGUAUAAUCGUUGUUGUGUAUGUAUUUGUUUUGGUGUACACACAUCUUCAUCUGCUCAGCCAACCCCCAAAUGUUACUCUGUUUUUUCUAUGUUUGUAAUGUUGAUACUCUUAACCAUAACAAAACAAAAGCUUGUAAGUUUGGGAGAAAAAUAGAACAGACUUCUUCACAAAUAAAAAUAUUGGGUCAAAAACAAAUUAUACAAAAGAUGAGGGACCAGAUUUUCAAAAAUGCCAAAGUUGGCCAUUGUUGCUUUCGAGCUUCUCACAGGUGGUGGCUGUGACAAAAAGAGGCAAACCGACGACAAUUCCGGAGCUUCAGAACCAGUGCCACAACUUUGAAUCACGUUUUAGAGUUCGAGGUGUAUCCAUUGAGCGAGAAAGCUUGUGUACGUCAUUAUUAUACCACCAUCAGAGAUAUAGCUUGACAUAUUUCAAAAGAAAGUUUGGAUAAUAAAGAUAUUGAUUAUAAACAUGUUUUCUGAAAAAAUGUUCCCGAAAAACAACAUUCAUUUUACAAAAAAAAAUAAAGAACUCAACUGAAAGAAACGAAGGAAAAGAUAUAUGAGACCCACUUUAGUUACAAACUCACUAGCUCGUUUAGAAUAAAAGGAAGUUGUUAAUGGAAACUGUCUUGGUAGCAUAAACCGGUCCAUUAUGUAAUAAUAAACUAAAAACUGCAUUGUGGUGUAAUUCUUUCACUAUUUGAUCACAGGCAAACAAGGUCUUGGAUCGUGUGAACAAUCUUGUCUGCAAAAAGCUUAAUUGAUUGAUAAGCUUAAUUAUUAGGUUUCCGUGGAAAAGUUUAGCACAUUAAUGCUAGUGAAAUCAAUCAAUUUUCCGUGCAUACUGAUUUAUGCUGACAAAUGUUUAGUUUUUGACUAUUGGAUAAAAAUCACAAGUUGAUAGCACACUACAGAACAAUUUGAUUUUUUUUUCCACUUUAGGUAACGAGUUGACAAACAUUGACAAGUUGACCAGAGCUGUGCUCACCCUGAAGUAAAAAAGGCAUUCGUCUAGGGCCCCUUAAUAAUGUAAAUUUUUUUAGGGUUCCUAAACUCUAAUUUUUUUUUGUAUCUAGUAAAUAUUAAUUAGAUUUUUAUCAGAUUUCAAAUUCUUUUUUUUGUUUGAAACUUUUUUUUGUUAAAAUCUGUUUUAGUUAAAAUCUUAGAAACUUUAAUUAUUUUUUUAAAAUCAUCAACUUCUAAGUUCUAACCCAUGCAAAUUAGGAUGAUUUGAUGAAAAAAAUCACAGAAAUAAAAAUUGAAACAACUUUUGUUGACUUUUAAGGUUUUAUCUAUUAUUAUCUGGUUAUAUAUAUAUAUAUAUAUAUUAUUUUUUUUGUAUCAUUUUCUGAAUAUAAGUAAAUGUAAAAAUAUGUAAAAGUAUUAUAUAGUAACUAAGUUUUAGAGACUUUAAUAUUCUUAAAAGUAUCAUCAUUUUAACACACAAUUUUAACCUUCAUUUUUAUGUUACUAAUUUAAUAUUUUACAUCACAUUUUAUACACAUUUUAUAUACUAUGAUAAUUUGGAAAAAAUUAUUAAAGAACCAAAAUAAAUUAAUCAAAAAUUUUACAUUCUAAACUUUGUGUAUCAUUUUUUAUUUUCUAAUUUUUAAUCCAUAUGGAAAAAAUAAGUUAUUUUUGAAUUAUUUUAUUUUAAAUAUAAUACACAUAAAAUUAUAUAAACAAAAAUAUAAUUUCGCCUAAGGCCCCUGUAUCUCUUGGCACGACACUGAAUUUGACAUGUACAUUUUCCAGUGGUUCGGUUUCUGGUCAUAUCAUCUUCACAUAUCUUCACAUAUAUAUAUAUAUAUAUUGCUUCACUCUUGUUCGUCCACGUCAGCGCCAGGUCAGAAAGUCGAGGUUUGUAGUGCCGACACGUCUUCCGUCCAUACGAACGCAUCACUUCAUUUAUUCUUAAUAUUUGUUGGGCUUUUAAGGUUAAGCUUAUAUAUUCAGUGUUUUUGGACUGAUAAAUUCGUAUGGUUAAGUUGGGCCGAUGGCCCAUGAACAGAAACCUAAAUCUGAUGAAGCAAAAAGUCUGUGUGCCGAUUCCAUUAGAGAGACUGAGAUGCAGAAGUCUGUGUGCCGAUUCCAUUGGUUGGGUUUCGAUCAGUCUUUUCGACUUCUUUCCAUCCAUCUAAAUGAGAUAGCUUCUGGAUCCAUCGCAGUAAACAAGAUACUACGUUUCUCAAAACAAUGGAAUUCAACAUCAACAAAACUGUCACAGCAUGGGAAGAAAUGUUUAAUUGAAGAAUGAAUUUGAAACAGAUUGCAUUAUAAAGAAACAAUAUUUCAGGUUCAAAGAGUUGGUCAACAUCAUAAUGCACUAUCCUCAAGGGAAUCAUGGAAUUUAUAAAGAUGGAAGGCCUAUAUAUAUCAAGAGCCUAGGACAAGUCAUCCCGGUCGAUGUCCACACAUCAAAAGUGUCAAGGUUAGAUAUGUGGUUCCGACUGGAGCUUUGGUUGGUAUCUACGAGGAUCUUGAGCUCAGGGAUGGGGGAUCAAACUACCUUGGGAAGUGUGUCUCUAAAGUGAGAAACUACAUUGUCCGUGAGAGAAGUAUUAUCCGAUUUGUUUCCUAUUUUUUUUUCUGUUGAUGUCGGCUGUUGGCAAUGUGAACUCGAUCAUUGGCCCAGCGUUAAUCUUUCCUUGAUUUAUGUUUAGUGCUACAAAUUUGUUUCUAAAGCUGUUUUUUCACAUUCAUGUGUUUUUUUGUUCUUGCAGGAUCCAAGAUCCAACUCAGCAGACUGAUAUUGACAACUUCAUGGUCCCUGGAGUGAUGGAACCCAAAACGAGCUGGGUUGGUGAAAUCAAAAGAUGAUUCAAGAGAAAUUCAUGUUUUAUGUAUUUACUCAAUAAUGAAAGAUGAUUCUGACCAUCUUGGUUCUUCUUUUUGUAUACAGCUUGUAGCCAAUUGUAUCCUUUCUGUGUGCAAAGCUGGGGUCAUUGACUCAUUGUCUAUGGCAUUCUCUCUACAAAGCGAAGGUAGGAGAGCAAAAGGUAAAAAUAAAUUAGAUGAUAGGGUAAUGUUCGGCACCAACAAAGAUGAGGGAAAAAGGCAAACAAUAAAAAGAAUUAAUGAUUACAUUUUUUACGUUUUUUAUGGUAAGAUAGUUUUGUAAAUUUUAACAAAAAGGGAAAAUAGUAGAGUUGGUAUAACUAUAGAUAAAUUUCUGAUUUGUAAAUUUCUAUAUUUUGGCUUAUUGCAACAGUCACUCUAUUCUAAGGGAUGUGGUACAUUAGCAUGUU
Molecule: long non-coding RNA, 3317 nt
Organism: Brassica napus (rape)
Lineage: Eukaryota; Viridiplantae; Streptophyta; Magnoliopsida; Brassicales; Brassicaceae
Exons: 4
Source: RefSeq, a predicted model, not a curated record